AAGGGUUUCGUGUGAACAGUGGUUGAUCACGAGUUAGUCGGUCCUAAGCCUAAGGCGAAAGCCAAAGAAAAAUUUAAGGUUUAUCAUAAGGGUUUUUUUUUUGUAUAUAAUAAUAAUAAUAAUAAAUAAUAUUAAUUAAAAUAACAUAUAUAAAGCCACUAGUAAAUAUGGUGGUAUUAUGUUUUUAAUAUUUAUUUAUUAUGUGUAUAUACAAUAAAAAUAAAUAAGGUAGUAAAAAAUGUCCUUAAAUUUAAAAAUUAGGCGAAAGGGAAUACGGUUCCAAUUCCGUAACCUGUUGAGUAUACGUUUGUAAUAAAUCUGGUCAUUUAUGAUCAUCCCGGUAACGGAAACAAUCAUAGAGAAGCCGUCGAGAGGUAUCGGAAGAGUUUUCUUUUCUGUUUUAUAAUUGUACUACCAUGGAAGUCUUUCGAAGAGAGAUAUGGUAGAUGAAUUAGAAGAGCAUGGCAUUUACUGCUGUGUCGAUAUUUUCUCCUCGGACCUUGAAAAUCUAUGAUUGGGCCACGCAAACUUCUCAACAGGCCGUACCAAUAUCCGCAGCUGGUCUCCAAGG
This 571-nucleotide ribosomal RNA is filed under the name Thinophilus sp. 7 SNK-2009. Its description in RNAcentral is "partial 28S ribosomal RNA". It matches the Rfam family "Eukaryotic large subunit ribosomal RNA", at positions 1502 to 1872 of the family's 3401-position model. Lineage: Eukaryota; Metazoa; Arthropoda; Insecta; Diptera; Dolichopodidae. The record is from RNAcentral.